GGGGGGGGCUAAUGAAAUAGGUGUUUUUUUUGUGUGUUGAAUAUGGUACAACACACUGAGGCCAUGACUAUAAAGGUGAAAGUAGCCCAUGAUCUGACAGACUAGGGUUUGAACAUUUCAGUCUCCGGUCAUGCCACCAGAAUCAAUCUUGAAUUUGACAAGUUCAACAACCAUCUUUCAGAAAUUCCUUGAAUGUGUCAGGGAUCCAUCUUCCCAUGACAACAGUUAUCUGCGGGCUAGAUAGUUACCUGGCAGACUUCCUUCUCUAGUCCUAGGUAUUUCUGGAUACCCGAGCUAGAAACCCAGGUAGUGACACUAUGGAAAGCUAAAACUUUCCAAUCUACCAUAAUGUUAAUGCUAUCUAGCUUUAUUUGUGAGGGAGAAAUGAUCACCAGCUUUGUUUUUUUUUAGACAAUUUGUAAAUACCGGUAACAGUAAUAUCUGGCUUUUCAACCAAUUCUUCAGUGUCACAGAAAUGAGUAAUUCAUUAUAGCUUUCGCUGCUUUCUGAAGAUUUGAUUUGUCUUUUCUAGAUCCAGCACAUUAAAACAUGAUUGAUCAUGUUACUGAUAGGUAUGUACAGGAUCAUUGGUCAGAAGACAGAAAACAUAAGUUACAGACAAGUAAUUAUUAGAUACCCAGAAUUAUACUAACCACGGUAACUAGUGACUGUUUUGAUGAUAUGUGAUAGUGAUGUUUUCUUCUAUAUAUCAAUCAUUCCUCAGGGUCCGCUGGUGUUCUUUGUCUGUAUGCAAUAUACCAUCAGCAAUAACGACACUUCAUCAGCUUACUCAUUGGCUCGGUUUAGACAGGUUUCCCUGUGGUUUCUUGUUUAGACAGGUCUCCCUGUGGUUUCCGGUUUAGACAGGAUUCCCUGUGUUUUCCUUUUUAGACGGAUCUCCCGUGUUUAGACAGGUCUCCCUGUGAUGUCUUUUUUAGACAGGUUUCACUGGAUUCUUGUUUAGACAGGUCUCCCUGUGGUUUCUUGUUUAGACAGGUCUCCCUGUGGUUACCAGUUUAGACAGGUUUCAAUGUGGUUUCCGGAUUAGACAGGUCUCCCUGUGGUUUCUUGUUUUUACAGGUUUCAAUGUGGUUUCUUGUUUAGACAGGUCUCCCUGUGGUUUCUUCUUUAGACAGGUCUCCCUGUGGUUUCUUGUUUAGACAGGUUUCCCUGUGGUUUCUUUUUAAGACAGGUUUCCCUGUGGUUUCUUGUUUAGACAGGUCUCCCUGUGGUUCCUUGUUUAUACAGCUUUCCCUGUGGUUUCUUGUUUAGACAGGUUUUUCUGUGGUGUCUCAUUUAGACAGGUUUCCCUGCAGUUUUCAGUUAAAAGAUAAGUUUCAUUUAUAUCUACAAACUGUCUGACGAUCUUGUUCAGUUACAUAUGAUGAUAACCACAAGUUUACAGUCUUUGGAUUUUUUAAAACAUUGGAAGUUAAAUCUUAUGAAGGUGUAAGAAUAGAAGCAAGUUGUACAUUACCCAGGUACUGAUUUAUGUGUAGGUAUACAUGUACUGUGGUUUAUGGACAUAGAAACAAUUCUAUUUGCCCUACAGAUAUGUAUAUGGUUAUAUAAAUUUAAGUUAGAAGUAUUUAACUAUCAGUACUGGGGAGCUCUGUGAUUGUAUUAAAUUCUUUACUCAAAUCACUGAAAAUAACUGGGUUUUAUUAGUGAUUGUACUUCAAGUACCUGUUUGUUGUAGAUUUGAAUAUGAAGAAACACAGAGUGAGAUGUUAUUUAUUCAGAUGUACAAUUGCCUCUAAUGAAGUUUAGGUGAUCAGAAAUGUUACUCUUUUUUAUUUUUUCAAGAAAAGUCAUCUAGAAUCUCUAAAAUAUCUUUUGUUGCCAUUCUUUGUGAUUUUGUAGCCAGCAUGAGUGCUGUUACUGAGGUGUGAUAGAGUCAUGUGUAUCAUAAUAUUCUAUAUAUUUUACUUUUAUCUCCUAUGGUUUAGGGCCGCUAUUCCCAAUAUAGAACAAUUCUGACAAUCAUUUAUUUCACUUUUGCCUUUCACCAAAUGUCUUACAAACAAAAUUGUUUCCAGCUAUUUAUGGUUUGAAGAAAUUGAAGUGUUUUUACCCUGUUAAGUAUGGGUUUGUCACAACUGUCUGGGCCAACUUGUGUCAGAACUUAAAUAAAUACAUUAAAACCAAGGUUAUAAGAUCAUGGUAAGUUAUAAUGCUCUAAAACAGAGGCUCAAAGAUAGCUGUAAGUCAAAGUAUGUCAAAGAUUGAAAUUAUCUUGUAUGUGAAACAUUUGGUGAUUUGGUAAAAGGAUAUCAAAAGCAUGCAUGAAACUAGCUCAUCAUUGAUCUUCCCAUUGGGAUGAAUUGUCUGUGUCUUUUGAUCUCUCGCAUACCAGGUCUAGAGUGUGACAAAAUAUUUAAGGAAAUGAUGCCAAUAUUCCCAUAAAAAUUAUAUUAUAUUUCAUAGUUUUAAUUUUGCAAAUAGUAAUUAUUGCAGAGAUAUGAUUCCAAAUCGUUAUAUUUGUUAAUGUGUGUGAGUGAAUGAAAGUACUGAUCCCUGUAUACAUCGGUUUAGCAGAAUGAAAAUAAUUCAUGUAGCACAAGUUUGAAAAUAUGGAACUUAUAUCUAAAAGCUGAAAUAUUUAUGGCUCAAAAUGGUCUUUUGAAGGCAGGGAACAAUAUUUUCAUUUUGUCUUGUUUUUUAGCAAUCAGUAAGCUUACCAGUCUUUAACUCAUUUACUGCUGAAGACAUUUUUGAACUGUUCCAAUUCAAAGGCUGGAAUAGUUCAUUAUUAAAUUUUAGGGGUGACUUAGUUAAACAACAUUGUAAAAAAACUCAUUUACCUUAAUGAUUCGUUAAUAAGAUUUUGUUAUCUGGUUAAUUAUAUAGCAUUUCAAAAUAUACCUUUAUUUCUGUGUUGGUUUUCUCUAGAGGACCAUUUAGCAUGUUCAGAAUUGCAAUUUUGUUAUUAAAUUCAAAAUCAGUUUUUGAAUUAUUAAAGAUUUAAAUUUUGCAUUAGUUUGCCAUUAAGCUUAUUAUGCUUAAAAAACCAGUCUGGACAAAGUUAGUUUAACAUGUUACACAUCAACAUCAACUUUACUCUAAAAGAUUUACAAAAUACAUUGAAAUUUAGAAUUAGAUUGAAUGUGGAGGGGUUUAGGAUAAUUAUCUUCAGGCAAAAAUAACAAAAAUAUUAACAAAUUUCUAGACACUUAUCCAAAAAUCUGAUUUUGAAAAUGUCCAUCAGGGACUUGUUACAUUCUUGAGGCCCUGAACUACUAGAGUGUGUAGCUAAGGUUUGAAGCUAGACAUACCUAUAACCUGUUUCUACCAGAACAAAAUCUACAUUCUAAUAGUAAAUUCUGCAAAUCUUUCAUUGAAUGUUCUUAUAAGAUGAUGUGGAAUUUAUUCUCUCAAGUGAUGAAGACAGCAUGUGUUUUAUUAAAUGUAGGAUUGAUUAAAACCAACAUGUGCUAAUUAUUAUCUCUCUGAACAAGUCAUAUUAUCCCUAUGCAAAUAUGAUAUAUGCUUCAUUGUUAUGUAGGUCAUACAUAUGGUGUCAUUUGUGUUUUAUGCUUCAUUAAGUGCUGUCCAUCUCUAGUGUGUUAGUGACUGUUGUGUUGUUCCACUUUGUGUACGGCUAAGGCCGCAGAACACUGCAUUAUUUUUACACAAUAAAUAUUUCCGUAAAAUUGAA
RNAcentral lists this long non-coding RNA (3658 nucleotides) under Mizuhopecten yessoensis (Yesso scallop). RNAcentral's name for it is "uncharacterized LOC110443221". Lineage: Eukaryota; Metazoa; Mollusca; Bivalvia; Pectinida; Pectinidae. The record is from RNAcentral.